GACGAACGCUGGCGGCGUGCUUAACACAUGCAAGUCGAACGGAAAGGCCCUGCUUUUGUGGGGUGCUCGAGUGGCGAACGGGUGAGUAACACGUGAGUAACCUGCCCUUGACUUUGGGGUAACUUCAGGAAACUGGGGCUAAUACCGGAUAGGAGCUCCUGCUGCAUGGUGGGGGUUGGAAAGUUUCGGCGGUUGGGGAUGGACUCGCGGCUUAUCAGCUUGUUGGUGGGGUAGUGGCUUACCAAGGCUUUGACGGGUAGCCGGCCUGAGAGGGUGACCGGCCACAUUGGGAAUGAGAUACGGCCCAGACUCCUACGGGAGGAAGCAGUGGGGAAUAUUGCACAAUGGGCGGAAGACUGAUGCAGCAACGCCGCGUGCGGGAUGACGGCCUUCGGGUUGUAAACCGCUUUCGCCUGUGACGAAGCGUGAGUGACGGUAAUGGGUAAAGAAGCACCGGCUAACUACGUG
This 468-nucleotide ribosomal RNA is filed under the name uncultured bacterium. RNAcentral's name for it is "partial 16S ribosomal RNA". It matches the Rfam family "Bacterial small subunit ribosomal RNA", at positions 28 to 507 of the family's 1533-position model. The record is from RNAcentral.